CGGUGCAAUAGCUGAAAUACCAUUCGAGCACCGACAGUCUGUCGGUGCAAUAGAUUUUUCGUUGUCGGAGCGUGUGCUCAAUGCAGAACAAGUUAAACGAGUAUCUUUUCGCCGUUUAUUUCGUCGAUCGCAACAUAUUUCAUGUCGAACAUUUGUCUUAAGUGAUCGUAUGAUCGUACACUUUGUAUUGUCUUUCUGAAAGAACGUUAACGAACGAAAGAAAAGAGUUUUGAAGUGUCGAGUCAUGUCAGCGCGUGGGCGCGAGUCGCCAUUUUGUUACGUCUUCCCUCCUUUUUCGUCGGACGCGCGUCCCGCCAUUUUACUUCGUCACCAUUUCUUGUUCUGGAAGCGAUCGAUCGCAACAUGACUGCUGUACCAUCUCGUUUUUCAGUUCUUGGAACGGAAUCCUCCACCGACGAUGAAGAGGAAAGAGCAGCUAUUACAGCUUCAAAAGAGAAAAAAGGGGCAGCUGCCCAAAAAUUGAAAUUGCCAGUGGCUAAGCUAUCCAAAAAAAAGGGUCCUAAGGUCAGGGAAGAGCAAGGUCCUAAGGAACUGAUUCAUGAUCCCCAAGCGCAAGAGGGUAUUGUUGGAAAAGAUGAGACUCAAUUGAACGAGAAAAAUCUUGAAAUAGAAAACCUGAAAUUGCAGAUUGACAAAUUACAGGGAGAUUUACGUAAUUCAAAUGCCGAAGUUUUUUAUUAUCGUGGAGCCUAUAUACGCGAACGUAAGAUUUUUUUAAUUUUUUUCCCCCUAAUUAAAUCUAGUUUUAUAUAUAGUCAAGGAAAAAGCAAACAUGCUUGCAGGUAUUGACAAAAAAGCCAAGAUUCAAAAUAAAUUGACUGCUGAAACCGUUAAAAAAAGGCAUGAUACUGAAUAGACCGUGGGCCACGGAUCUGGGAAGCUCGUCCUAUCAAUUUCCUUUCUUGCAUUUAUCAACUCGUCAUUUAUUUUGAAUAAUAAUAAAUAAAAUUCUUUGAAACCAUCGACAAUAAUCAGAUUUUUUUCAGCUGAACUGGCAAUUUAUAUGUGUUGUUUAUAUGUGUUCCUUACUACGGCAAGCGACUCGGUAACCUCUGAGAUUCUGGCAGUGCUGGCUAAGCACCAGAUUCAGGUGGAUCAGCCUAUGCCAAAAAUUGGCCUCGACGAGCCUGGCAGAGACACCGACACCAACGGCCUCGGUUGAAAUAAAAAAGCAGUAAUUCACACAAUUUAUAUAGUAUCUUAAGGUCGAACAACGCCGUCUGCAAGACGAGUUAAACCAGAAAAAUAUUGAGAUUGAAAGCCUCCAGUCAGAAAUUGACAAACUACGAAGAGUGUUAUGAUUCAAAAACUCAAAUCUCUAAAUUUCGCGGACUCUAUAUACGCGAAUUGACAGAAAAAGCCAAAUUUCUUGGCGAUAUGGGUAAAGCAGACCAAAAAAAGACAAAUUGACCGCCAAACUGACUGAGACUCACAAGAAGAGGCACGAUACCGAAUAAGAAAACGACCGUGGGCCACGGAUCAAACAAGAAUAUGCUUGUCAUAUUACAUUUAUAAACUCUUUCAUAUUUUUGAUA
This 1556-nucleotide unclassified non-coding RNA is filed under the name Daphnia pulex (common water flea). RNAcentral's name for it is "uncharacterized LOC124192714, transcript variant X3". Lineage: Eukaryota; Metazoa; Arthropoda; Branchiopoda; Diplostraca; Daphniidae. The record is from RNAcentral.